UCUUCCUCACGCCCAAGAGUUGGGCAUCCUUGGUUCCCAUGCCCAAGGAUUGGGUGCCUUCUUUCUUUUACGCGCCAAGCUUUAAGGUGCUGAUUUGAGAGAAGGAGUUCUCUCAUCUUCUUCAUACUCUUUUAAAGAUUGCUUGCUAGUUUCUUGGUGAAGAAAUAAAAGAAAAGUUUUUCUAGAUCUAUCCUGUGGAUAUCUGUAGAGGUCGGAUACUUGUACGACUCAAAAAUAAUCGAGAAGUUAUCCACGAUCAUCAAUUACGGUGAAUAACUAUCCACGCAAAGGUGAAGAUGAGAUAUUCAUGAUUUUUACUGUAAUAAAAUUUUAUUUGCUGCAUAUAGAUC
Molecule: long non-coding RNA, 350 nt
Filed under: Elaeis guineensis (African oil palm)
Lineage: Eukaryota; Viridiplantae; Streptophyta; Magnoliopsida; Arecales; Arecaceae
Description: long non-coding RNA (EGUI_LNC018440)
Source: RNAcentral